Molecule: ribosomal RNA, 520 nt
Filed under: uncultured Entrophospora
Lineage: Eukaryota; Fungi; Glomeromycota; Glomeromycetes; Entrophosporales; Entrophosporaceae
Description: SSU rRNA
Rfam family: Eukaryotic small subunit ribosomal RNA
Source: RNAcentral
AGCAGCCGCGGUAAUUCCAGCUCCAAUAGCGUAUAUUAAAGUUGUUGCAGUUAAAAAGCUCGUAGUUGAAUUUCGGGAUUGACCCAUCGGUCGUGCCUUAAGGGGUAUGAACUGGUGUAGUCAAUUUCUCACCUUCUGGAGAACCGUGAUGUCCUUAAUUGGGUGCCACGAGGAACCAGGACCUUUACUUUGAAAAAAUUAGAGUGUUUAAAGCAGGCAUUUUUGCUUGAAUACAUUAGCAUGGAAUAAUAAAAUAGGACGGCAUGAUUCUAUUUUGUUGGUUUCUAGGAUUCACCGUAAUGAUUAAUAGGGAUAGUUGGGGGCAUUAGUAUUCAAUUGUCAGAGGGUGAAAUUCUUGGAUUUAUUGAAGACUAACUACUGCGAAAUGCAUUUGCCAAGGAUGUUUUCAUUAAUCAAGAACGAAAUGUUAGGGGUAUCGAAGACGAUCAGAUACCGUCGUAGUCUUAACCAUAAACUAUGCCGACUAGGAAUCAGACGAUGUUAAUUUUUUAAUGACUCG